AUGUCGCAGAGUUCUUCGUCGGCUAGUCGGAGCCGGCCACCUCCUCCCCCGCUGCCAUUGAUCAUGUGCCCAAGCUGCCCAGGGACGAGGACCAGGUGGUAUGUGUCCGGGACAGAUCGCAACCCGGGCAUCCGGUUCUACAAGUGCCCAAACCAGGCAUACGGAGGCCCUUGCCGUUUUUGGCUGUGGGAGGACCAAUACGCGUACUACAUCAUCGGUGUUGGCAUCAACCUUCUCAUCGAGGCCGCCGGUGGUGGAAGCAACGUCAUGUUUGAAAUGGGUCGCGCCAUCGACGAAAUACGCACCGCAGCUAGGAACACCAUGACGAUAUGCAUGCUAAUGCUUUUCGUCCUGCUUGCCAAGGCGGCCGGCUGGCAGUAA
RNAcentral lists this ribosomal RNA (381 nucleotides) under Triticum aestivum (bread wheat). RNAcentral describes it as "partial small subunit ribosomal RNA". Lineage: Eukaryota; Viridiplantae; Streptophyta; Magnoliopsida; Poales; Poaceae. The record is from RNAcentral.